This 66-nucleotide transfer RNA is filed under the name Marmota monax (woodchuck). RNAcentral describes it as "tRNA.Ala". Lineage: Eukaryota; Metazoa; Chordata; Mammalia; Rodentia; Sciuridae. The record is from RNAcentral.
GCUGGAGCUCAGUGGCAGAGUGCUUGCCUAGCAUGUGGGAGGCACUGGGUUCAAGUCUCAGCAUCA